CUUGAUGGAGCCCAGCAGCAGCGGCCGUUCGGCGGACUUCUCCUUGCCGUACGUGGCGAGCAGCGCCUGCGCCUC
This 75-nucleotide antisense RNA is filed under the name Streptomyces sp. PRh5. RNAcentral's name for it is "ASpks sRNA". It matches the Rfam family "ASpks TB sRNA". The record is from RNAcentral. Lineage: Bacteria; Bacillati; Actinomycetota; Actinomycetes; Kitasatosporales; Streptomycetaceae.